Molecule: ribosomal RNA, 494 nt
Filed under: uncultured bacterium
Lineage: Bacteria
Description: partial 16S ribosomal RNA
Rfam family: Bacterial small subunit ribosomal RNA
Source: RNAcentral
GAUGAACGCUGGCGGCGUGCCUAACACAUGCAAGUCGAACGGAAAGGCCUGCUUUCCCUUGUGGUUUGCGGGGAGUCGAGUGGCGAACGGGUGAGUAACACGCGAGUGAUCUGCCCUCAACUUGGGUAUAAGCCCGGGAAACUGGGUCUAAUUCCCGAUAGGACUGCAGGGUGGUGCCGGUGGUGGAAAACGAUUUUCUAGUGGUUGGGGAUGAGCUCGCGGCUUAUCAGCUUGGUGGUGGGGUAAUGGCCUACCAAGGCGGGGACGGGUAGCCGGCGGGGGAGGGUGGACGGCCGCAUUGGGACAGGGAUCCGACCCCGACGCGUACGAGAGGCAGCAGUGGGGAAUAAUGCGCAGUAAGCCGGAGCCUGAUGCGGCGACGCAGUGUGGAAGAUGACGGCCUUCGAGAUGUAAACUCCUUUCGACCACGAGGAAGCCACCUGGUUAGAAGGGUGGUGACGGUAGUGGUAGAAGAAGCCCCGGCUAACUACGUG